GGUGGCUGCUUGUGAGCAGAAUGGUGAGGAAGAGAAGGCCUGUGUGUUCGUUUCGAAGGGUAGGAGAGAAGGAGUUAAGCCAACAAAUUAUAUGGUUUUCUAUUGUUAUCAGUGCUUGUACAGGGCUUGCAAGACUUGAAUUAGGACGGUCAGUUCAUGCAAUUGCUGUGAAAUCAUGCAUGGAGGUUUAUUUAUUUAUUAUUUUUUUGGUUGGUGUUUGUAUGAAAUUGCAUGAAAUUGAUUUGAUUUUCCCCUUUAUCAACUGAUGUUUGUAAAU
RNAcentral lists this unclassified non-coding RNA (277 nucleotides) under Hevea brasiliensis (rubber tree). Lineage: Eukaryota; Viridiplantae; Streptophyta; Magnoliopsida; Malpighiales; Euphorbiaceae. The record is from RNAcentral.